AACGGCCAUACCAUGCUGAAUAUACCGGUUCUCGUUAGAUCACCGAAGUCAAGCAUCAUUGGGCGCGGUCAGUACUUGGAUGGGUGACCACCUGGGUACACCGCGUGCCGUU
Molecule: ribosomal RNA, 112 nt
Filed under: Caerostris darwini
Lineage: Eukaryota; Metazoa; Arthropoda; Arachnida; Araneae; Araneidae
Source: RNAcentral